AUAAAUACUAUGAAGAGAAAAGUAGUUAUAAUUAGAUUUAAAGAGAGUCGACUUAAGCUGGAAUGUUGAUAUGAAGAUUAUAAUGAAGAACAUCUCGGAGUUUCUAUUCGAAAUUCUAUUUUAAAGAAAAGUAGGUAUAGAGGUCGCCAAAGCCUUAUUUGGAUUGAGUGAUUACUAUGGAAUAUUCAUUGUAAUAACUAGGGUGGUACCGCGAAUAUACCUUCGUCCCUAUU
RNAcentral lists this non-coding RNA (233 nucleotides) under Clostridium cellulovorans. RNAcentral describes it as "T-box sequence". It matches the Rfam family "T-box leader". From Rfam's summary of the family: Uncharged tRNA acts as the effector for transcription antitermination of genes in the T-box leader family. T-boxes are found upstream of many aminoacyl-tRNA synthetase genes and some amino acid biosynthetic genes usually in Gram-positive bacteria. The anticodon of a specific tRNA base pairs to a specifier sequence within the T-box motif, and the NCCA acceptor tail of the tRNA base pairs to a conserved bulge in the T-box antiterminator hairpin. The record is from RNAcentral. Lineage: Bacteria; Bacillati; Bacillota; Clostridia; Eubacteriales; Clostridiaceae.